Molecule: long non-coding RNA, 2889 nt
Organism: Populus trichocarpa (black cottonwood)
Lineage: Eukaryota; Viridiplantae; Streptophyta; Magnoliopsida; Malpighiales; Salicaceae
Exons: 5
Source: RefSeq, a predicted model, not a curated record
CUCAGUAAAUGCUAAAAGGGCUUAAGAAAACAUUGUGGCUGCCUUACUGUGGACUGGAGCAAUUGGCUUAAAGGUCUGUUUUGGUGUUUUCUCGCGGUACAAGAUCUUGGUUUGCAUCAUUCAGUUCUCACCAGGAGGUCUGCCCAGUGCUUGCCCUUCGUUCACUAAAAAAGAAUGGAAUCCGGAUCCAUUUUAAAAUUGCAUAUAGAUCCCAAAAGGAAAGACCGGGAAAUGAAGAGUGAACGACGGCUUGGAUUUCAUGAUGGCUUAGGCUGAAAGGGAAAGGGACUUUAGUCUGCAGAGACGUCGCCGCCACCAGAAAAUCUGGCUUGAUUUUAGGAGUUCUUAAAUGCAGCGCCAGAGCAGGUGGCUUGGCAUGGAUUAAAAGGCUCUUUGUGGCUCUUAUUUAUACAUGGCUGGUUUGCUUGCAUUUCUUUGUGCUGGUACGUUUUUUUCCCCUAAGAAUUAAGGUGUUGACAUGCAUUUGGAUGUCUCAGUUGAGAUAGGUGAGAGUGGGUUGGUUCAGCAUGCUGAUGAAAAGAGAAGAGAAGUAUGGUUUUAAGUUGUUUCAGCUGACAGGCAUUUAAUGCACGUCAAGGUUGGCAUGUUGCUGCCAUUGUGAUGUGCAGUGUUUUUCUUAAGCGGGAAAUGUGGAGACAAGGUGAGGGAGCUGAUUUGUUAGUUUAAUUUUGACUUUAGUAGGUGAUGGGCUGUCCUGUUUGAAUAUUUUUAAGAACUCUAUUUUAUAUCUGGUCAUUUUUUCUUGAGCGGAAAAUAUGGAGACAAGGUGAGGGGGCUGAUUUGUUAGUUUAGUUCUGACUUGGGUAGGUGAUGGGUUGUCCUGAUGGAAAAUUUUUUAAGAACUCUAUUUCAUAUCUGGUCAUAGCAAUCACUUCUGUUUUGUGACAUCCAGUUACUUGCUUUUUAUCAUGUUGGUGGGCAUGUAUUUUCCUUUUUUCCUGCAAAGAUAUAUAAUGCUUUAAGCUUUGCUUUUGGGUGUACUGGCUCCUAACUUUUUCCCCGUGUUCUACUAAGACAAAGGUUAGUUUUUUAAGAUUAUUCUCUGCUUUUCCUCGACUUUAGUUUCAAAUCAAUUUGGGUUGCAAGUUAUGAACUUUACUGUGUUUUUAAGAUUUGGCUCCUUUUAGUUGUCUUUAAUUUUUUUUACUUUUGUUGAACGAUUAUUUGUAGCAUUGUUUGUUGCCUUUUUUGUUAUUAGUAAAAUACCAAUCCUUAUGCCCCAAUAACAUUUGACUAUAAACAUUCAGCAAAUCAAAGUUAAUAGCAUUAGCCCCGAAGACCCUCCAAGCACAAAAAUUACCUUAGCCUUCUUCUAGCCCCUAAAGAGUUUCAUAUAAUAUGUGUGUUUGGUGGGAUAUGAAUUAGGGGGGUUAAAGAAAAAGAAACAAAUAUGUUCCCGAUAAGAAUAAGGUAAAAUCACACAACUCAUAAAAGCUUUGUUUGCUCUGACACAGAUUUUGGGAUCUUUCUCUGAACUCUAGACAGUUAUAAACAGGGCAAGUUGUUAAGAAAUUGAAACCGGCCAGUAGUUAAGCUAUGCAUGAUUCUAUCUGACACCUAUUCCAAAGUUUUUAUCUUCUUAUAGAAUUGUUAAAGGAGAAAAUGCUUUACUCUGGCGACAUGUAUCCAAAUGUACCCACAAGACGUGUAAGGGGAGAUGCACUUCCAGCCUUAGUUAGUUUUGUUAAUCCAAAAUCUGCAACCUGUACAAUAAAGGAUUCAGUACAACUAUGUGAAAAAGGCUUAAAAUGGGACACCAUCAUAAGAAAAAUAUCAAUCCAACAUUUCCCCUGAAGUUCUUGCGUAUCAGUAUGUUUGCUGAUUUAAUAUCACGAUGAAUAUAAACAGGGACAAUAUGCUCAUGGAUAUAUUCAAGACCUCUAGCUGAAUCAAGGGCAAUCUAGAAAAAACAGAGCUUAAUCUUCUAGAACAUUUAACACUGUUUGGCCAUGGCAGCCUACAGAGUUUGACAAUUGCGCUGCACGCUUUAGGGAAUUUAAAGAAAAAUUGCAGCAGAAUGGAAAGACCACAGAAUUUUCAUAGAGUUUCAGCGAAAAACCUCAGUAUAUCUUCACUACUUUUUUUUACACGCCUUUCCGUAACCUGGAGUAGAAGUGUAGCACCUAAAAAAACAAAAGAUUUUCAAUCAACAACACAGGAGAUUUAGGGUAAGUGUUUUUUGUUCCAUCUGGUUUUGGAUUAAAAAAAUUAUGGAUUGAGAUGAAUGAAUUUGUUAUUUGAGAUGAGGCAUUAAACAAGUAUGUUGUAUCACUUUGUGUUCAAUUCUCUCUAUAUGGGCAAGGCAGUAAAAGUAUUUUCAUAAUUAUUUUCUUUUCAUUUUCAUAAUCGCAUGUUUUUUUUUUUAUUGUUGUUAUUAUCCAUCUCUCAAGUUCAGAUUUGCUUGGUGACUUUCUAUUUUUAACCAUUUGUUGCAGGCAUGGUAUUCCAAUUAGUGUUGAGCUAUCUCUAGGUUGCAGAGAGUUGUAACACCACCUUUUUCCUCUGUCACUCAAGUUACAGGUUGCUUUAUUUUGUGUGGACCUUCUCAGAAUGUUUAAUGGUGUAGGCUAUUGAUUUUGCUAUCCACUUUCAAGGAAUGUUUGACAAGAAAAACUAGCAAUUCCUCUACAAAUGACUUGGAUUUAGAUUCCUGUAGCAAGAACAUGGAGAGGAAUCUGGCAGCUUAUUUCCACUUUUGAUGUUGUUUAUAACUUAAUCUAUAUUAUCAUGAUUGCUGCCUCUGUAAUUUUGAUAUAAUUUGGAAACAACAAUGUCUUUUAAGUGCUCAGCAAUCUGACAGCUUAUUUGCAUUUUGUUGUUUAUAACUUAAUCUAUAACUUUAUCUAUAUUAUCAAACCUUUGAUACUA